ACUGGGAUUACAAGGUGUGCGCCACCACGCCCGGCUAACUUUUGUGUUUUUAGUAGAGACAGGGUUUCGCCAUGUUGGCCCAGCUGGUCUCGAACUCUUGACCUCAAAUGAUCCACCCACCUUGGCCUCCCAGAGUGCUGGGAUUGCAGGAGUGAGCCACCGCACCCUGCUUAUUUAUUAAUUUAUUUGUCCAAUAUUUAUCAAUCUCCUACCAUGCCCAAGGCACCUUAGAGGGCACCGAGAAUACAACAGCAAACACGACACAGUCCCUGCCCUCGGUCACUUCAAGAGCUGGAGGGAGAGGGGAGUGAGUGAAAACAGUGCACUGAGAUGGAAGAUGGGAGGGGCAAUCGGGGGUGCUUCACAGAGGAGGAGGCAUGUUGGUAACGUGGUAACGUGGAACGUUGGUAACGUUCCGUGAUAACGUGGAAAGUUGGUAACGUUCCGUGAAGUCUGCAUCUUCAAAUGCCCCUAGCUCUGUCUAGGCUGAUGAGACGGGAGAAUGGCCAGGCCUGAGAAGUGGCUUAUGGUUGGAGGGGAGUCAGAAAGGGAAGGAUGAUUUCUCAGAAGGAAUGAGAGGAGCGCAGCCCCCUUGGUGAUCCCCACUUCCUGGGGAACGGGCCUUUUCCUGGCAGUGCUGUGCUGCGGCCCCGCGGGCCAAAUGCGGGUAGACAUGCUGCCCUCCCGCGCGUGGCCGGGAAAAGGGCAGGGCACUGUUCCUUCCCUGUGCCCCUCCCCUCUGCCAUCAGUCUCCACUUCUCUAUUUACCUCCCUGCCCUCUCGCCCCUAAACCUCCUUUCUCUCCCCAUCUGGCUUCCCUCUCCAUCCGUCAGUGAGCUGUGAUUGCGCUGCACUCCAGCCUGGGCGACAGAGUGAGACUUUGUCUCUAAAAAAGAAGAAGAAAAAAAAAAAAAAACGAAUGAUGAAGGAAAGUGACAAGAUUUCCAUUUCCAGAAACCCAAGUCUUGACGUUAUCCACACGGAAGAUGUCGCUCAGAAUACACUUUUCUUGGAGAAGGACGGCCCUGCAACUGCAUUCAAUUCAGUUUCUUGCCUGAGGAGGGUGAAAAAACAAGGAGGGUCUCAAGAACUGAGCGCAGCUGUGAGGAGCAGCUCACAAGGAAGGAGUCCCAUCAUUUACUGGACAGCUCUGAGUCUCCAACGAUUUAUCAAUUGUAGCUCAGGUUUUCCUACCCCAGUGCUGAUUCCUGUGGAGGUUUCUGCUCGGCUUCAUAACCAAGAAUGA
This 1246-nucleotide long non-coding RNA is filed under the name Macaca mulatta (Rhesus monkey). Its description in RNAcentral is "lncRNA (ENSMMUG00000049036.2)". Lineage: Eukaryota; Metazoa; Chordata; Mammalia; Primates; Cercopithecidae. The record is from RNAcentral.